UACGUAGGGGGCAAGCGUUGUCCGGAUUUAUUGGGCGUAAAGAGCGUGUAGGCGGCUAGGUAGGUCCGUUGUGAAAACUCGAGGCUCAACCUCGAGACGCCGGUGGAAACCAUCUAGCUAGAGUCCGGAAGAGGAGAGUGGAAUUCCUGGUGUAGCGGUGAAAUGCGUAGAUAUCAGGAGGAACACCUGUGGCGAAAGCGGCUCACUGGACCAUAACUGACGCUGAUGCACGAAAGCUAGGGGAGCAAACAGG
RNAcentral lists this ribosomal RNA (253 nucleotides) under uncultured bacterium. Its description in RNAcentral is "partial 16S ribosomal RNA". It matches the Rfam family "Bacterial small subunit ribosomal RNA", at positions 524 to 776 of the family's 1533-position model. The record is from RNAcentral.